GGCCACUGCUAUUGGGAUCCGACCAAGCCAUGCGAGUCGAGAGGGUUCGGCCCUCGGCAGACUGCUCAGUAACACGUAGAUAACCUAACCUUAGGUGGAAGAUAACCUCGGGAAACUGAGAAUAAUAUUCCAUAGAUCUAGGAUGCUGGAAUGCAUCUAGAUUGAAAGUUCCGACGCCUAAGGAUGGGUCUGCGGACUAUCAGGUUGUAGUCAGGGUAAAGACCUGACUAGCCUACGACGGAUAUGGGUUGUGAGAGCAAUAGCCCAGAGACGAUAUCUGAGACACGAUAUCGGGGCCCUACGGGGCGCAGCAGGCGCGAAAUYUUCACAAUGUGCGAAAGCACGAUGAGGGGAUCCCAAGUGCUGGCACGUAAGUGUCAGCUGUUUCUUAGUCUAAAAAACUGAGAGAGUAAGGGCUGGGUAAGACGGGUGCCAGCCGCCGCGGUAAUACCUGCAGCUCAAGUGGUGGCCGCUAUUAUUGGGCCUAAAACGUCCGUAGCCUGUUUAGUAAAUGCUUGGGUAAAUUGUGUAGCUUAACUAUACGAAUACCGGGUAGACUGCUAAACUUGGGACCGGGAGAGGCUAGAGGUACUCCUGGGGUAGAGGUGAAAUUCUGUAAUCCUAGGGGGACCACCAGUGGCGAAGGCGUCUAGCUAGAACGGGUCUGACGGUGAGGGACGAAGCCCUGGGGCGCAAACCGGAUUAGAUACCCGGGUAGUCCAGGGUGUAAACGCUGCUUGCUUGAUGUUAGUUGGGCUCCGAGCCCAACUAGUGUCGGAGAGAAGUUGUUAAGCAAGCUGCCUGGGAAGUACGGUCGCAAGACUGAAACUUAAAGGAAUUGGCGGGGGAGCACAGCAACGGGUGGAGCGUGCGGUUU
Molecule: ribosomal RNA, 877 nt
Filed under: uncultured euryarchaeote
Lineage: Archaea; Methanobacteriati; Methanobacteriota
Description: bacterial SSU rRNA
Rfam family: Archaeal small subunit ribosomal RNA
Source: RNAcentral